Octodon degus (degu) is the source of this 396-nucleotide long non-coding RNA. RefSeq lists it as uncharacterized. The transcript has 3 exons. The record is from RefSeq and is a predicted model, not a curated record. NCBI's taxonomy places the organism in Eukaryota, Metazoa, Chordata, Mammalia, Rodentia, Octodontidae.
GCUGGGGCUUCUCGGGGGCUCCUGACUGGGGCGCUGUGGGUGCGGGCUUGUCUCGUCGCCAGGCUCGCCUCCUGGAAGGAUUUAGGGUAGCUGAGGCCUUUUUUGGAGACUGGGAAGUUCCAGAUCAAGAUGGUGGCAUUUUGCGAGUGCCUUCUUGUGGUGUCUUCAAAUGGUGCACGGCCAAAGGGUGAGAGUGGAAGGUCUUGCUACACAGUUUGGACUCGUAGUGAUCCUCCUGUCUCAGCCUCUCUAGCACUGGGAUUACAGCUAUGUGCCACCAUGCCCAGUUUGGGGGCUGGCUCAAUGGGCCUGGGUUCCUGGGUGUAGUGGUUGGUUGAUUGUAUCAACUUAAGAAGCUAAGAGCUUAGCUCAAUUGGCUCAGCAGUUGCACACCCU